CCUACGGGAGGCAGCAGUGGGGAAUCUUGCGCAAUGGGGGCAACCCUGACGCAGCCAUGCCGCGUGAAUGAUGAAGGCCUUAGGGUUGUAAAGUUCUUUUGCCCGUGACGAUGAUGACGGUAACGGGAGAAUAAGCUCCGGCUAACUUCGUGCCAGCAGCCGCGGUAAUACGAAGGGGGCUAGCGUUGUUCGGAAUUACUGGGCGUAAAGCGCGCGCAGGCGGUUCGAUAAGUUAGGGGUGAAAUCCCUGGGCUCAACCCAGGAAUGGCCUUUAAGACUGUCGAGCUAGAGGACGAGAGAGGUGAGUGGAAUUCCCAGUGUAGAGGUGAAAUUCGUAGAUAUUGGGAAGAACACCGGUGGCGAAGGCGGCUCACUGGCUCGUUUCUGACGCUGAGGCGCGAAAGCGUGGGGAGCAAACAGGAUUAGAUACCCUGGUAGUCCACGCCCUAAACGAUGAGUGCCAGGUGUCGGGAAGCUUAGCUUCUCGGCGCCGCAGCUAACGCCUUAAGCNCNCCNCNGGAGUCGCGCGAGUAACGUACGAAGAAGUAGACGCGUGAGAGUUGCGAGACGACGACGAGGGAGAGG
RNAcentral lists this ribosomal RNA (585 nucleotides) under uncultured bacterium. RNAcentral describes it as "bacterial SSU rRNA". The stretch from base 1 to 518 matches the Rfam family "Bacterial small subunit ribosomal RNA", at positions 338 to 873 of the family's 1533-position model. The record is from RNAcentral.